AAUGUUUGAAGCUCAAUCCGGACACAGAAAUAUCAAGCCCAGAAAGAGAGAUCAAUUGCCAGGUUUCUUUUAGGCCACAAGUUGAUUGAGGCGGUUCAGGCAUGUUAGAGGCCAAGGAAGUGUAUUCGUUCUUGCUCUUUGUGAAUGGGUGGUUGGGUCAGCUCUUCUCCCCCUGCUCCCAACCAGUCCUCCUAUCUACAAGCAGCCUCAAUACCCAACAGUAUCUUGGCAAUGGUACUUCAUUGCAGCGGCUGGUGUGAAGGAGUCGGAUGUGCAGAUGUUCAGACAGAUGGACAGCACUGUGUUUCACCUGAAUGAGACCUUUAAAAAUACACUACUGUUGAGCGGAGCCAUGCGCGUGUAAGAGACCAGGGAUAGCUGACACAAUCAUACUGGCAGAGAAGCCCACUUGGGGGGUGUUCAUUGCAUUAUGAAAAACUGGACCUAUACUAUUCAGUCUGGCAAAGAUGAUUUGACAUCAGAAGGCAGGCCUGAGCUGCAAACUCUAGUGUGGAGUGGAGAGUGGCUGAACUGCACCCAGUGUAUCCUGCUCCAGGAGAUAGAGCGUCACUUGGAACCACUAGAGACACACGACACCCUCAACAGAUUCAUGCUUUACGCUCGUGACAGUGCCUUAUUGGAUAAUAAAGUGGUGAAGGUGUUUCAGACCCAAACAGCUUGUAAAAAUAUGGACAGAUUUGUCCAUCUCCCUCAAGAGAAAGAGCUUUGUAAAUUGGAGAGUAAGGCGUAGCACUGAGGCUGCCUGCAAUUUGUUAGAAUCUUCAAUCAAGAUCAUGCUAUGCAUCAAAAUAGGUUUCCCUUUGAUAGUUUAAUAUUAGCGUAUUGCCCACUCUAACUUUGAUCUAACUCAGAAACGUGGAACUAAUUCAAAUGAAGAACUCUCCUCUCAUUUCCCAUGUGUAAUAGUAAAACAAAUAAACAGAAAAAAUAACAGCUA
Salvelinus sp. IW2-2015 is the source of this 958-nucleotide non-coding RNA. Lineage: Eukaryota; Metazoa; Chordata; Actinopteri; Salmoniformes; Salmonidae. The record is from RefSeq and is a predicted model, not a curated record.